RNAcentral lists this transfer RNA (84 nucleotides) under Candidatus Altimarinota bacterium. RNAcentral's name for it is "tRNA-Leu". It matches the Rfam family "tRNA". From Rfam's summary of the family: Transfer RNA (tRNA) molecules are approximately 80 nucleotides in length. Their secondary structure includes four short double-helical elements and three loops (D, anti-codon, and T loops). The record is from RNAcentral. Lineage: Bacteria; Candidatus Altimarinota.
GCGGAUGUGGUGGAAUGGUAGACACGCACGAUUGAGGUUCGUGUGCCGCAAGGUGUGAGGGUUCAACUCCCUUCUUCCGCACCA